RNAcentral lists this long non-coding RNA (308 nucleotides) under Chrysemys picta bellii (western painted turtle). RNAcentral's name for it is "lncRNA (ENSCPBG00000027176.1)". The record is from RNAcentral. Lineage: Eukaryota; Metazoa; Chordata; Testudines; Emydidae.
AGCAACACUAUCCUCGGCUGUCUCCUGCCUGCAGACAGGGAUUUGGAUGCCUUUCGGAAGCUGGGAAAAGAAACCCCAUGGAACUUCUGCAUUUGGGACUGGAGUUUAAAACCCCUAGGAGCUAGACAACAGCCCUGGAGACCAGCCAGGCGAUGGAAGUGGUGUUGGUCUGGAUUCCAGGAGGUUAUGGGCAGAAUCUCUGCAUUGAUGAUGUCAUCCCUGCCACAGGCUCAUUAACACUUCGCAACAGCAAAGCCCUGCCCACAAAGGGAAGGGAUCUAAAGAAGAUACACAAACAAAGGAGGUGA